RNAcentral lists this ribosomal RNA (253 nucleotides) under uncultured bacterium. RNAcentral's name for it is "partial 16S ribosomal RNA". It matches the Rfam family "Bacterial small subunit ribosomal RNA", at positions 524 to 776 of the family's 1533-position model. The record is from RNAcentral.
UACAGAGGGGGCAAGCGUUGUUCGGAAUUACUGGGCGUAAAGGGCGCGUAGGCGGCCUUCUAAGUCGAACGUGAAACCCCUGGGCUCAACCCAGGAACUGCGUCCGAGACUGAAAGGCUUGAAUCCGGGAGAGGGAUGUGGAAUUCCAGGUGUAGCGGUGAAAUGCGUAGAUAUCUGGAGGAACAUCGGUGGCGAAGGCGGCAUCCUGGACCGGUAUUGACGCUGAGGCGCGAAAGCCAGGGGAGCAAACGGG